GGAAGGACAGCUCCUGCACCUAGCCUCCCGGGUGCCAAUGGCGGCAUUGCAGAGUCUGGGGAGCCGCCUGGCCCGCGCCCAAUCUCCCUGGAGCACCUCUGCCUAGUCUGUCCGCCGCAUUCUCUGUGCUGUGCCCAGGGCCGCCCUAGGUGCCCUGCAAUCAGCUCCGACUGCAGCCCCUAGCCCCAGCCUGGUGAGCUAACCCGGGAGUCUCUCUGAGUAAUUUCACUGGGGCCACGGCGGCAAUAUGGCCCAUUCAGACGUGGCUGACAUCUACUGUUGGCCUCAUGGUGGGUAAAGGAUUGACUGGAGCCCCACUACAGAACAAUUAUUGAGUCCCCAUGAUCCCUCCAGCUAACAUGAUAUCCCCAGCUGGCCAGAGCAAUGGGGGCCAAGGAAACAUCGCAGAAUGAGAAACAGAAAGAAUUUAAGGGUCAGAAGAAACAGAUUGCAGGGUCAAUUUCCUUUCUCCUGAUAAGAACCUGUUCAGUCGUCACCAGAGAUUCCUGACAUGCCUCCCCAUGUUAAUGAGCCAACCCUAAGCUCUCAGCCAAUGACCUCUGCCCAUCCUGGAUGUUCCUACACUCAGUCCCCUGAAACUGUAUAAGCCUUGAAUCGCCCCAAGUAAAGUUGAUCUGCCUGCUGGUCCAGAUGUGGUCACCGCUCCCACUACCCUCAUGGACCGUAUCGGCCGAUGGAUCCACGGGAGGAGAGACCCAUGCGGAGGAAACGAGGAAACACUGUUUUUAGUUUUUAGCACCUAAUCUUGAGAGAACAGACAUUUGUUUACAUCUCCUGGGGAAAGUCAUGCAACUUUGAGAAUGUUCUGGGGCCCCACUUGGAGCCUACCAAAAUUACCAAUUGUUUGAGGCUGGCUGUUCACAGAGAAUUUUUUAAAAUACCAAACAAAAGAAAAUUUAAAAAAAAACAAUAGAAAUUGUCUUUAAUCAAACAAUAGUAAAAUAUUUUUCUUAUGAAUGAAUAAAUACAAAUCUGACAAAUUGUGCAUAUCCUUGUUCUAUAAUCAGCGU
Molecule: long non-coding RNA, 1031 nt
Organism: Apodemus sylvaticus (European woodmouse)
Lineage: Eukaryota; Metazoa; Chordata; Mammalia; Rodentia; Muridae
Exons: 4
Source: RefSeq, a predicted model, not a curated record